UACGUAGGGGGCAAGCGUUGUCCGGAAUCAUUGGGCGUAAAGCGCGUGUAGGCGGCCCGGUAAGUCCGCUGUGAAAGUCGGGGGGCUCAACCCUCGAGACGGCCGGUUGAAACCAUCUGGCUAGAGUCCGGGAAGAGGAGAGUGGAAUUCCUGGUGUAGCGGUGAAAUGCGCAGAUAUCAGGAAGAACACCCGUGGCUAAGGCGGCUCUCUAGUACGGUACUGACGCUGAGACGCGAAAGCGUGGGGAGCGAACAGG
This 257-nucleotide ribosomal RNA is filed under the name uncultured bacterium. RNAcentral's name for it is "partial 16S ribosomal RNA". It matches the Rfam family "Bacterial small subunit ribosomal RNA", at positions 524 to 776 of the family's 1533-position model. The record is from RNAcentral.